RNAcentral lists this ribosomal RNA (301 nucleotides) under uncultured bacterium. RNAcentral describes it as "partial 16S ribosomal RNA". It matches the Rfam family "Bacterial small subunit ribosomal RNA", at positions 509 to 809 of the family's 1533-position model. The record is from RNAcentral.
CAGUCGCCGCGGUAAUACAGAGGAUGCAAGCGUUAUCCGGAAUCACUGGGCGUAAAGGGUGCGUAGGCGGGUCUUUAAGUCAGGGGUGAAAUCCUGGAGCUCAACUCCAGAACUGCCUUUGAUACUGAGGAUCUUGAGUUCGGGAGAGGUGGGUGGAACUGCGAGUGUAGAGGUGAAAUUCGUAGAUAUUCGCAAGAACACCAGUGGCGAAGGCGGCUCACUGGCCCGAUACUGACGCUGAGGCACGAAAGCUUGGGGAGCAAACAGGAUUAGAUACCCCAGUAGUCCCUGUCUCUUAUAA